RNAcentral lists this ribosomal RNA (410 nucleotides) under Salmonella enterica subsp. enterica serovar Typhimurium. RNAcentral describes it as "partial 23S ribosomal RNA". It matches the Rfam family "Bacterial large subunit ribosomal RNA", at positions 711 to 1118 of the family's 2925-position model. The record is from RNAcentral. Lineage: Bacteria; Pseudomonadati; Pseudomonadota; Gammaproteobacteria; Enterobacterales; Enterobacteriaceae.
AGACCCGAAACCCGGUGAUCUAGCCAUGGGCAGGUUGAAGGUUGGGUAACACUAACUGGAGGACCGAACCGACUAAUGUUGAAAAAUUAGCGGAUGACCUGUGGCUGGGGGUGAAAGGCCAAUCAAACCGGGAGAUAGCUGGUUCUCCCCGAAAGCUAUUUAGGUAGCGCCUCGUGAAUUCAUCUCCGGGGGUAGAGCACUGUUUCGGCUAGGGGGCCAUCCCGGCUUACCAACCCGAUGCAAACUGCGAAUACCGGAGAAUGUUAUCACGGGAGACACACGGCGGGUGCUAACGUCCGUCGUGAAGAGGGAAACAACCCAGACCGCCAGCUAAGGUCCCAAAGUCAUGGUUAAGUGGGAAACGAUGUGGGAAGGCCCAGACAGCCAGGAUGUUGGCUUAGAAGCAGCCA